GACGAACGCUGGCGGCGUGCUUAACACAUGCAAGUCGAACGGAAAGGCCCUGCUUUUGUGGGGUGCUCGAGUGGCGAACGGGUGAGUAACACGUGAGUAACCUGCCCUUGACUUUGGGAUAACUUCAGGAAACAGGGGCUAAUACAGGAUAGGAGCUCCUGCUGCAUGGUGGGGGUUGGAAAGUUUCGGCGGUUGGGGAUGGACUCGCGGCUUAGCAGCUCGUUGGUGGGGUAGUGGCUUACAAAGGCUGUGACGGGUAGCCGGCCUGGGAGGGUGACCGGCCACAUUAGGACGGAGCUGCGGCCCAGACUCCUACGGGAGGCGGCAGUGGGGAAUAUGGCACAAGGGGCGGGGGCCUGGUGCGGCAACGCCGCGUGCGGGAUGACGGCCUUCGGGUUGUAAACCGCUUUCGCCUGUGACGAAGCGUUAGUGACGGUAAUGGGUAAAGAAGCACCGGCUAACUACGUG
RNAcentral lists this ribosomal RNA (468 nucleotides) under uncultured bacterium. RNAcentral's name for it is "partial 16S ribosomal RNA". It matches the Rfam family "Bacterial small subunit ribosomal RNA", at positions 28 to 507 of the family's 1533-position model. The record is from RNAcentral.